RNAcentral lists this long non-coding RNA (768 nucleotides) under Nicotiana benthamiana. RNAcentral's name for it is "long non-coding RNA (NBEN_LNC025574)". The record is from RNAcentral. Lineage: Eukaryota; Viridiplantae; Streptophyta; Magnoliopsida; Solanales; Solanaceae.
AAAAUUAAACUAAUCCUUUUGGAGUUGUUACACAAAGUGGAAGAAGGGAUCAGAGUAGUAUUAAUAUGCAUUCUCACCUAACAAUCUACAUAGACAAAUUAAGUUAUAAGAAAUCUAACAAUCUAGUAAUAAUAAACUUAAUUUCCGGAAUACAAUAUAGUCUUCCCUCAAUUUCAUCUUACAAAUAAAAAGGUAAAAAGUGAAAAAAUGAAUUGUAUAUCAACCUCCCGAAUAUACAGCAGGGUACAUGACCUUGAUCAUAACUAGACAAGAAUAACGAAUUUCUUUCUUAGAAGUUUAGUUUUUUUUUAAAAAAAUCAAUAAGGAAUGAUAGUCUCGAAACAGUGGACACCAUCCAAUUCCAGUGCAAACCUCUGCCUCUUCUGCUGCUGUUGGCGUGAUGAUGACGGCAGGGGCGAUGCUUCUCCGGCCUUCUUCAGACCACCGGUUGAGGAAGUAGACGGCGGAGAAACACCACCAGUCUUGUGAUCUGAUACAAGAGGUCCAACCCCUUUUUGCUGUUGUUUGGUCUCAGUACUGGGUGUCCAAAAAGGGGUCACCUUUUGACCAAAAACUUCAGCAGAGAGAGCAUCAAAGGAACUGAAUAUAGACAUCACCAUCGUUGGUGUGUUAUUGCUCUAACUGGGAAAACAAAUGGAGUUAAAAAGACAAGAAACUGAAAGUAUAGGUUUGUUGGUUUCUUUUAUGAAAGAAGUGUUCUAAACUUGGUUACGAAGAAAGAAGCUGCAGAAGGAGAAGUAUAUAUAG